Long non-coding RNA from Toxotes jaculatrix (banded archerfish), 307 nucleotides. RefSeq lists it as uncharacterized. The record is from RefSeq and is a predicted model, not a curated record. Lineage: Eukaryota; Metazoa; Chordata; Actinopteri; Toxotidae. The transcript has 3 exons.
UUACAGAUUAAAAUUGGUGAAGGUUUUUCGCUUGUUUUUGACGAAAACAUGGUGACAACUGAACUCGACACGGCAGUCGCUGGUAUUUUCGUUGAAGGAGUAUUUUGCUGAUUUUGUCGGCAUCGCCGAACUUGUCAGCUGUCGGACUGGGUUGACCCAUUUCACGCCUGUACGUUGUUGGACUCUUUUUUUUUUGGGUUGUUUCGAGUUUGAAGGAUUUGGCAGUUUUUUUUUGGAGAUCGAUCGUGAGUACAACUGGCGUUGUCAACACAAGAUGGCGAGCCACCCAUAGGAGAACCACUGGAAG